CGGCUUGAGGACCGUAUUCAUGGAAGAGGAUCGAACAGAAGACUACUGAGUUCUUAUGAGAAAAAUGGCUCUUAAGAAAUUGAAGGUGAUACCAAAGGAAGGUUACUUAUUACUUUUGGACUUUGAUGAUGAGAACGAUGAUAUAAAAGUUUCAGAGGAGGCUCUUUCGGAAGAGAUGAAGUAGACAGUAUGUUGGAUAAAUCUGAAGAUGACAUUUAUAAGACGCUUCACAUAAAGAGAAAAUGGAUGGAAACUUAUGUCAAAGAAUCUUUCAAAGGCAGGAACCAGAAAUUAGAAAGAUUUUGCAAAAUGAACGAACGAGAGAGGAAGAACAUCAACAACAAAUUUUGUGAGCAGUAUAUAACUACAUUUCAGAAGUCUUAUAUGGAUGUACAGAAAUUCAAUGAGGAAAAAGAAAAAUCAGUGAAUAGUUGUCAAAAAGAACAACAAGCAUUGAAACUGUCCAAAUGUAGUCAGAACCAGACCCUGGAAGCAGGUAAAGAAAUGCAUGAGAAGUCCAUGGAGCUGCAUCAUUGGACUCAAACUGAAUGGUCCAUGUGUUGCCACUGAUGUGAGCCAUUUGCAAGCC
RNAcentral lists this non-coding RNA (589 nucleotides) under Mus musculus (house mouse). The record is from RNAcentral. Lineage: Eukaryota; Metazoa; Chordata; Mammalia; Rodentia; Muridae.